Molecule: long non-coding RNA, 1371 nt
Organism: Canis lupus familiaris (dog)
Lineage: Eukaryota; Metazoa; Chordata; Mammalia; Carnivora; Canidae
Exons: 3
Source: RefSeq, a predicted model, not a curated record
ACGAGAAGAGACUCCACCACCAUAGUCAGAACUAGGAUUUCUGGCUAUGGGUGGCAUAUAUCAAGUUUUGUAAUGAUCUUCUUAGAAAGGGGCAGGGGAACCUUUGCCCGAGGAAGAGGAUAUCUCAUUCAUCAUGGGAGCCUUAAACAACACAAAUUAUUCCCAUUGUAGACUAUCGCUAUUAUUUGCAAAAUGCACUUCAGUUACACUGUCUCCAAGUCUUUGCCUCUCUUCAGCUCUCCAGCGGUGUUUCCCCGACUUCUCUCUUCCCUACAAUACCCCCAUCUCUUUGAGUUCCUGCAGCCAGGGGGACAACCCAGCCAUGGACCUUUGGAGCUGGAUUCUACUUGACUGGUCAGCCCUGACAGAAACCCUGAGAGGUGUCACCCCAGGAGUUGGCGUGGGAAGCCUCCAGAUGCAGCUGAAGGGCAUUGCCAGGCCUCUCGGUGGCUUUCUUUGCCCAGACUCCCAAGGCAGGGACAGAGCGCUUUGCUGCAGUGUUCUGUGCCUCUGGACCAGUUCCUUGCCCAGUUGGCAGAGGGCCUACCUUGUCCUCCAGCUUGUUAUUCUAGCUUGAUUAGCAGCAAACCCCUGGCAUCAAUCUCAACUCUGAAUGAUCUAAUCAAUUUAUAUAAUAGGAAAAUGAUGAGUUCCCUGCACAGAGGCACGGAGUCCUUUGGGGGCCCAGCCCCAUGACGAAUGCCACUUUUGCUCACUGAAUCAAUAUUUAAGUCACUGAUUUCCAGCUGGCUAUCUUCAAAGCCUUUACCUUGGCCCUGAAUUGCUGCAAGAGCCUCCUAGGGAUGAAGGCUUGCUAUCUCAGAUGUCUCCCUUUAUAGCUCCAUUGCCAGCAUCUGCCACUCAUUGCUGUGAUCAUGCCAUUUGAUCUGAUCAUGUGACUAAUGUCCCUGGAUCGCAGUCUUCCGUGGCUCCCCCAAGGCUAUAAAAAUUUAGUCUUCAAACCCUUGGGACUGCCAUUCAAAACCCUUGCUGAUGUGAUUCCCGAAAAUUAUUCUAGCCUCAAAUUCUCCCAUGUCCUGCUUAUCGUCCCUAAUCAUCAGGCCUUUGCCUGUGCUAUGGCCCCUGCUGGAGUGCCAUUGUCCUUCUCCUCUCCAGCUCUUCAAAUAUAUAGCUCAACUCAGGUUAGAACUUCUUUCCAGAAAACUUUUCCUUUGUAGGAUGCUCUGACCCGAUCACUUUGAUGACAUCAUUUCGAUCCUAAGAUCAUUUGAUUUUGCCGUGUCCUUGAGAACUUCAGGCACUGUUCUGGGGGCUAAGGAAACAGCAAUGUGAAUGGAGGGCAGUCAGCUGUGAAACUUUGCCAGGUCACAGAGAGAGAGGCAGAGACAUAGGCAGAGGGAGAAGCAGGCU